AUGGUCAGAUUGAGAUUACCUUGGACAACAUCCAGUCGCUCUACUUGCUCUUCGAAUUUCUGGUCAAGGCCAUCCAAUCGAUCUGCAAUCUCAUCGAUGCGCCCCAUCUUCUCCGUGACCAGAGUGAGCGCCUCGAGCUGUUUGAGGACCCGCUGCUCGAAGCUCUCCAUGGAGUCGAGGACCAGCGUCGUCUGUGCGUUCGCCUUGGGAGGAGCCGUUGCGCCCUGUGUCUACCGCCGCCGGAAUCAGCGAGUACAAGGGCAAGCCCGUUCCUCUACAACUGAUCCCUUCACCACCGUGCUGCGCCAACCGAGUAUCUCCGCCGGAAUUUUACACCCACCGGAAUGGCCGGUGGAAACCGCGGGACACGCUCGAUCCGCAGCCGAAUGCACACCGCCGCCACGAACUCGCCACCCGUGUCGCCGAAUCGAUGUGACCCACACCGCUGCCACGAACUCCGACGCCGACGAGGGAUUUUACGAGAGAGCCCAACCUCGUCGAAAUCGAAUCCGAUCCGCCGCCGAUCGCCCAUGCAGGCGCGCGUCGCUAUUCCCAGCCCUAUCUCCGCGCACCGCCACCCCCAGCCGGACCCGACCCAAUCACAUCGCCAUGGCAUGGUGUCUCCAUCUCCCGAUGACGGAGCAGCACCUUCCCGACGGCGCGCCUACCACCGCUGACAAAGAACUCUGCCCCAAGCCUCCUCCCCCCUCCUCACGUCCGGAUGGGCAAGAUCCAGCCAGCACUGAAGCCUAUCCCACCGGCGCAGCUCCCCAUCACCAUUGCGCUGCUCCUUCCUCGUGUGUCUCCACUUCCCCUUGCUGCUCGGAUUGGUGUGCCGCGGUGCCGCCACCCAGGUCAAUUUCAUUCCUUCAGCCCUGCAUCUCCUUGAUGGCUCGUUCGAUCACUUCUACAUAA
This 915-nucleotide ribosomal RNA is filed under the name Triticum aestivum (bread wheat). Its description in RNAcentral is "partial small subunit ribosomal RNA". The record is from RNAcentral. Lineage: Eukaryota; Viridiplantae; Streptophyta; Magnoliopsida; Poales; Poaceae.